CAGGCCUAACACAUGCAAGUCGAACGGCAGCGCGGACUUCGGUCUGGCGGCGAGUGGCAAACGGGUGCGGAACACGUACGCAACAUACCCUGAACUGGGGGAUAGCCUUUCGAAAGGAAGAUUAAUACCCCAUAAGAUUAUAAGGUGGCAUCACCUAGUAAUUAAAGAUUUAUUGGUUCGGGAUUGGCGUGCGUCCUAUUAGCUAGUAGGUGGGGUAACGGCCCACCUAGGCAACGAUAGGUAGCUGGUGUGAGAGCACGACCAGCCACACGGGCACUGAGACACGGGCCCGACUCCUACGGGAGGCAGCAGUGAGGAAUAUUGGUCAAUGGGCGAGAGCCUGAACCAGCCAUGCCGCGUGAGGGAUGAAGGCGUUCUGCGUCGUAAACCUCUUUUGUUGGGGAAGAAAAGGGAACUUUCUAGUUCUUCCGACGGUACCCAAAGAAUAAGCACCGGCUAACUCCGUGCCAGCAGCCGCGGUAAU
RNAcentral lists this ribosomal RNA (484 nucleotides) under uncultured bacterium. Its description in RNAcentral is "bacterial SSU rRNA". It matches the Rfam family "Bacterial small subunit ribosomal RNA", at positions 43 to 524 of the family's 1533-position model. The record is from RNAcentral.